RNAcentral lists this ribosomal RNA (253 nucleotides) under uncultured bacterium. RNAcentral describes it as "partial 16S ribosomal RNA". It matches the Rfam family "Bacterial small subunit ribosomal RNA", at positions 524 to 776 of the family's 1533-position model. The record is from RNAcentral.
UACGUAGGGUGCAAGCGUUGUCCGGAAUUAUUGGGCGUAAAGAGCUCGUAGGCGGCCUGUCGCGUCGACUGUGAAAACCCAGGGCUCAACCCUGGGCCUGCAGUCGAUACGGGCAGGCUAGAGUGCAGUAGGGGAGACUGGAAUUCCUGGUGUAGCGGUGAAAUGCGCAGAUAUCAGGAGGAACACCGGUGGCGAAGGCGGGUCUCUGGACAGUUCCUGACGCUGAGGCACGAAGGUCAGGGGAGCAAACGGG